UAGGACUUUAACCAUUCGGAUG
This 22-nucleotide non-coding RNA is filed under the name Arabidopsis thaliana (thale cress). Lineage: Eukaryota; Viridiplantae; Streptophyta; Magnoliopsida; Brassicales; Brassicaceae. The record is from RNAcentral.